RNAcentral lists this ribosomal RNA (638 nucleotides) under uncultured bacterium. Its description in RNAcentral is "bacterial SSU rRNA". It matches the Rfam family "Bacterial small subunit ribosomal RNA", at positions 8 to 692 of the family's 1533-position model. The record is from RNAcentral.
AGAGUUUGAUCAUGGCUCAGAACGAACGCUGGCGGCAGGCCUAACACAUGCAAGUCGAGCGGACCCUUCGGGGUUAGCGGCGGACGGGUGAGUAACGCGUGGGAACAUACCCUUUGGUACGGAAUAGCCUCGGGAAACUGGGAGUAAUACCGUAUGUGCCCUUCGGGGGAAAGAUUUAUCGCCAAAGGAUUGGCCCGCGUUGGAUUAGGUAGUUGGUGGGGUAAUGGCCUACCAAGCCGACGAUCCAUAGCUGGUUUGAGAGGAUGAUCAGCCACACUGGGACUGAGACACGGCCCAGACUCCUACGGGAGGCAGUAGUGGGGAAUCUUAGACAAUGGGCGCAAGCCUGAUCUAGCCAUGCCGCGUGAGCGAUGAAGGCCUUAGGGUUGUAAAGCUCUUUCAGUGGGGAAGAUAAUGACGGUACCCACAGAAGAAGCCCCGGCUAACUCCGUGCCAGCAGCCGCGGUAAUACGGAGGGGGCUAGCGUUGUUCGGAAUUACUGGGCGUAAAGCGCACGUAGGCGGACUGGAAAGUUGGAGGUGAAAUCCCAGGGCUCAACCUUGGAACUGCCUUCAAAACUCCCAGUCUUGAGGUCGAGAGAGGUAAGUGGAAUUCCGAGUGUAGAGGUGAAAUUCGUA